Molecule: ribosomal RNA, 1044 nt
Filed under: Salmonella enterica
Lineage: Bacteria; Pseudomonadati; Pseudomonadota; Gammaproteobacteria; Enterobacterales; Enterobacteriaceae
Description: partial 23S ribosomal RNA
Rfam family: Bacterial large subunit ribosomal RNA
Source: RNAcentral
ACUCAGGUGUUGUUGGGUAGGGGAGCGUUCUGUAAGCCUGCGAAGGUGGCCUGUGAGGGUUGCUGGAGGUAUCAGAAGUGCGAAUGCUGACAUAAGUAACGAUAAAGCGGGUGAAAAGCCCGCUCGCCGGAAGACCAAGGGUUCCUGUCCAACGUUAAUCGGGGCAGGGUGAGUCGACCCCUAAGGCGAGGCCGAAAGGCGUAGUCGAUGGGAAACGGGUUAAUAUUCCCGUACUUGGUGUUACUGCGAAGGGGGGACGGAGAAGGCUAUGUUGGCCGGGCGACGGUUGUCCCGGUUUAAGCGUGUAGGUGUGUGUUCCAGGUAAAUCCGGUUCACUUUAACACUGAGGCGUGACGACGAGGCACUACGGUGCUGAAGCAACAAAUGCCCUGCUUCCAGGAAAAGCCUCUAAGCAUCAGGUAACAUCAAAUCGUACCCCAAACCGACACAGGUGGUCAGGUAGAGAAUACCAAGGCGCUUGAGAGAACUCGGGUGAAGGAACUAGGCAAAAUGGUGCCGUAACUUCGGGAGAAGGCACGCUGACACGUAGGUGAAGUGAUUUACUCAUGGAGCUGAAGUCAGUCGAAGAUACCAGCUGGCUGCAACUGUUUAUUAAAAACACAGCACUGUGCAAACACGAAAGUGGACGUAUACGGUGUGACGCCUGCCCGGUGCCGGAAGGUUAAUUGAUGGGGUCAGCGCAAGCGAAGCUCCUGAUCGAAGCCCCGGUAAACGGCGGCCGUAACUAUAACGGUCCUAAGGUAGCGAAAUUCCUUGUCGGGUAAGUUCCGACCUGCACGAAUGGCGUAAUGAUGGCCAGGCUGUCUCCACCCGAGACUCAGUGAAAUUGAACUCGCUGUGAAGAUGCAGUGUACCCGCGGCAAGACGGAAAGACCCCGUGAACCUUUACUAUAGCUUGACACUGAACAUUGAGCCUUGAUGUGUAGGAUAGGUGGGAGGCUUUGAAGUGUGGACGCCAGUCUGCAUGGAGCCGACCUUGAAAUACCACCCUUUAAUGUUUGAUGUUCUAACGUGGACCCGUGA